UGGGGAAUAUUGCACAAUGGGCGCAAGCCUGAUGCAGCCAUGCCGCGUGUGUGAAGAAGGCCUUCGGGUUGUAAAGCACUUUCAGCGAGGAGGAAGGUGGUGAGCUUAAUACGCUCAUCAAUUGACGUUACUCGCAGAAGAAGCACCGGCUAACUCCGUGCCAGCAGCCGCGGUAAUACGGAGGGUGCAAGCGUUAAUCGGAAUUACUGGGCGUAAAGCGCACGCAGGCGGUUUGUUAAGUCAGAUGUGAAAUCCCCGGGCUCAACCUGGGAACUGCAUUUGAAACUGGCAAGCUAGAGUCUCGUAGAGGGGGGUAGAAUUCCAGGUGUAGCGGUGAAAUGCGUAGAGAUCUGGAGGAAUACCGGUGGCGAAGGCGGCCCCCUGGACGAAGACUGACGCUCAGGUGCGAAAGCGUGGGGCAGCAAACAGGAUUAGAUACCCUGGUAGUCCACGCUGUAAAACGAUGUCGAUUUUGGAGGUUGUGCCCUUGAGGCGUGGCUUCCGGAGCUAACGCGUUAAAUCGACCGCCUGGGGAGUACGGCCGCAAGGUUAAAACUCAAAUGAAUUGCGGGGUCAUAGCUGUUCC
This 586-nucleotide ribosomal RNA is filed under the name uncultured bacterium. RNAcentral describes it as "partial 16S ribosomal RNA". It matches the Rfam family "Bacterial small subunit ribosomal RNA", at positions 355 to 930 of the family's 1533-position model. The record is from RNAcentral.